GUGAGGUGAUGACGAAGUUUAUCCAUUCUCUGAGUGCAGCGGUGCUGCCCUCCUGCAGCACCCCGGUUCCUGUCCUAGGGUCUGGGUGCUGCGCGGCCUCUGGGUGCUGCCCGGCCUCCAGACACCCUCCAGUCCCCAGUGUCCUACUGGGGCUGCUGUGGUGUGUGGCUGGCUGCCUGCAGGAGGGGAGUGGUGCUGGCAGGGCUGGAGCCCCCCUUCUGGGGGCGCUCUGUCCUCACCGAGAUGAGGGAUGAUGUCUGAUCAC
Molecule: small nucleolar RNA, 265 nt
Filed under: Apaloderma vittatum (bar-tailed trogon)
Lineage: Eukaryota; Metazoa; Chordata; Aves; Trogoniformes; Trogonidae
Description: Small nucleolar RNA SNORD17
Rfam family: Small nucleolar RNA SNORD17
About the family: The snoRNA HBI-43 belongs to the C/D family of snoRNAs, guiding 2'O-ribose methylation at position U3797 of the 28S rRNA. Pseudouridylation in position U3797 is predicted to be guided by the H/ACA snoRNA ACA48.
Source: Rfam by way of RNAcentral